GAUGAAGAACGUAGCAAAAUGCGAUAAGUAAUGUGAAUUGCAGAAUUCAGUGAAUCAUCGAAUCUUUGAACGCACAUUGCGCCCGCCAGUAUUCUGGCGGGCAUGCCUGUUCGAGCGUCAUUUCAACCCUCAAGCUCAGCUUGGUGUUGGGACUCGCGGUAACCCGCGUUCCCCAAAUCGAUUGACGGUCACGUCGAGCUUCCAUAGCGUAGUAAUCAUACACCUCGUUACUGGUAAUCGUCGCGGCCACGCCGUAAAACCCCAACUUCUGAAUGUUGACCUCGGAUCAGGUAGGAAUACCCGCUGAACUUAAGCAUAUCAAUAAGCGGAGGA
RNAcentral lists this unclassified non-coding RNA (333 nucleotides) under soil metagenome. RNAcentral's name for it is "partial contains 5.8S ribosomal RNA, internal transcribed spacer 2, and large subunit ribosomal RNA". The stretch from base 1 to 120 matches the Rfam family "5.8S ribosomal RNA", at positions 35 to 154 of the family's 154-position model. The record is from RNAcentral.